Molecule: ribosomal RNA, 373 nt
Filed under: uncultured organism
Description: partial 16S ribosomal RNA
Rfam family: Bacterial small subunit ribosomal RNA
Source: RNAcentral
GGGGGGGGGGCAAGCGUUGUUCGGAAUUACUGGGCGUAAAGGGCGCGCAGGCGGCCUGGCAAGUCCUACGUGAAAUCCCACAGCUUAACUGUGGAACUGCGUGGGAUACUGCCAGGCUUGAGUCCGGGAGAGGAGAGUGGAAUUCCCAGUGUAGCGGUGAAAUGCGUAGAUAUUGGGAGGAACACCGGUGGCGAAGGCGGCUCUCUGGACCGGUACUGACGCUGAGGCGCGAAAGCUAGGGGAGCAAACGGGAUUAGAUACCCCGGUAGUCCUAGCUGUAAACUUUGAGCACUUGGUGUGGCGGGUAUCGACCCCUGCCGUGCCGAAGCUAACGCAUUAAGUGCUCCGCCUGGGGAGUACGGUCGCAAGGCUG